Long non-coding RNA from Engraulis encrasicolus (European anchovy), 584 nucleotides. RefSeq lists it as uncharacterized. The transcript has 3 exons. The record is from RefSeq and is a predicted model, not a curated record. NCBI's taxonomy places the organism in Eukaryota, Metazoa, Chordata, Actinopteri, Clupeiformes, Engraulidae.
CCUGACUUUCACAUCAUCUUUGUACAAAUAUGUCUGGAUCUGGACUAACGUGUGCCGUAAUCGGAUGUCACAAUAACAGCAGAACGCUAAAAAUGUGGAAAAAGAGCGUAUGUGCGCUUCAUAGUCCACAGUUUAAAGAGGAUUGUCCUUGUUGUGUGCCCUACGGUGUAAACCGCUUCCCCGGCCGUGCUGAGGAUGAAGACAUUCGCAAGAUAUGGAUUAAAAACUACACCGAAAGGACUUUGCCCCCAAACAAGUAUUCAAUGGUGUGUGGAGUAUACUUCCCUGACGGCAGACCAACGCAGGAACACCCAUAUCCCAUAUUUAAUAUGGGAUAUGAAUAUAGUAAAGCACUAUCAUGUGGAAGACCACCCCCGAAGAGGAGAUGUCUCCAGCCCCCAACAGAGAGACUUGGAUUAAUGUUGAGAGGAUUAUUGUUCAAUACGGUGCAGAAACACUUGGUUCAGUUAUAUGUAUAUAUAUCAAUCAUCUUUCAAGAAAUCCUUCAUCCCCUCAGCUGUGACCAUACUGAACAAGAUAUGAACUGUCCAGCUGCAGCAUGAAUGUAUUGUGUGGUCGUCUUU